Molecule: ribosomal RNA, 492 nt
Filed under: uncultured bacterium
Lineage: Bacteria
Description: partial 16S ribosomal RNA
Rfam family: Bacterial small subunit ribosomal RNA
Source: RNAcentral
GAUGAACGCUAGCUACAGGCUUAACACAUGCAAGUCGAGGGGAAACGGCAUUAAGUGCUUGCACUUUUUGGACGUCGACCGGCGCACGGGUGAGUAACGCGUAUCCAACCUUCCCAUGACUAAGGGAUAACCUGCCGAAAGGCAGACUAAUACCUUAUGGUCUUCACUGACGGCAUCAGAUGUGAAGUAAAGAUUUAUCGGUUAUGGAUGGGGAUGCGUCUGAUUAGCUUGUUGGCGGGGUAACGGCCCACCAAGGCAACGAUCAGUAGGGGUUCUGAGAGGAAGGUCCCCCACAUUGGAACUGAGACACGGUCCAAACUCCUACGGGAAGCAGCAGUGAGGAAUAUUGGUCAAUGGGCGAGAGCCUGAACCAGCCAAGUAGCGUGCAGGAUGACGGCCCUAUGGGUUGUAAACUGCUUUUGUAUGGGGAUAAAGUCAAUCACGUGUGAUUGUUUGCAGGUACCAUACGAAUAAGGACCGGCUAAUUCCGUG